This 639-nucleotide ribosomal RNA is filed under the name Clostridioides difficile. RNAcentral's name for it is "partial 23S ribosomal RNA". It matches the Rfam family "Bacterial large subunit ribosomal RNA", at positions 1559 to 2210 of the family's 2925-position model. The record is from RNAcentral. Lineage: Bacteria; Bacillati; Bacillota; Clostridia; Peptostreptococcales; Peptostreptococcaceae.
GGAUGUGAUGGGGAGCGAAAUUUAGUAGCGAAGUAGCUGAUUUCACACUGUCAAGAAAAGUCUCUAUCGAGGUUAAAGGUACCCGUACCGCAAACCGACACAGGUGGGUGAGGAGAGUAUCCUAAGGCCAGCGAGAGAACUGUUGUUAAGGAACUCGGCAAAAUGACCCCGUAACUUAGGGAUAAGGGGUGCCACCAUCAGGUGGCCGCAGAGAAUAGGCCCAAGCGACUGUUUACCAAAAACAUAGGUUUCUGCUAAGUCGCAAGACGAUGUAUAGGAGCUGACGCCUGCCCGGUGCUGGAAGGUUAAGGGGAUCUGUUAGAGCAAUCGAAGCAGUGAACUUAAGCCCCAGUAAACGGCGGCCGUAACUAUAACGGUCCUAAGGUAGCGAAAUUCCUUGUCGGGUAAGUUCCGACCCGCACGAAAGGCGUAACGAUUUGGGCACUGUCUCAACAACAGACUCGGUGAAAUUGUAAUUCCGGUGAAGAUGCCGGAUACCUGCGACAGGACGGAAAGACCCCAUGGAGCUUUACUGUAGCUUGACAUUGGGUCUUGGUACUACAUGUACAGGAUAGGUGGGAGGCUUUGAAACCAGGACGCCAGUUUUGGCGGAGCCAUCCUUGGGAUACCACCCUUGUA